Molecule: non-coding RNA, 326 nt
Filed under: Oryza rufipogon (brownbeard rice)
Lineage: Eukaryota; Viridiplantae; Streptophyta; Magnoliopsida; Poales; Poaceae
Description: Bacterial small subunit ribosomal RNA
Rfam family: Bacterial small subunit ribosomal RNA
Source: Rfam by way of RNAcentral
UACCUUGGGAAACAUGCAAGUCGAACGGGAAGUGGUGUUUCCAGUGGCGAACGGGUGAGUAACGCGUAAGAACCUACCCUUGGGAGCGGAAAAACAACUGGAAACAGUUGCUAAUAUCCCGUAGGCUGAGGAGCAAAAGGAGAAAUCCGCCCAAGGAGGGGCUCGCGUCUGAUUAGCUAGUUGGUGAGGCAAUAGCUUACCAAGGCGAUGAUUAGUAGCUGGUCCGAGAGGAUGAUCAGCCACACUGGGACUGAUACACAGCCCAGACUCCUACGGGAGACAGCAGUGGGGAAUUUUCCGCAAUGGGCGAAAGCCUGACAGAGUAA